UAGGGAAUCUUCGGCAAUGGACGAAAGUCUGACCGAGCAACGCCGCGUGAGUGAAGAAGGUUUUCGGAUCGUAAAACUCUGUUGUUAGAGAAGAACAAGGACGUUAGUAACUGAACGUCCCCUGACGGUAUCUAACCAGAAAGCCACGGCUAACUACGUGCCAGCAGCCGCGGUAAUACGUAGGUGGCAAGCGUUGUCCGGAUUUAUUGGGCGUAAAGCGAGCGCAGGCGGUUUCUUAAGUCUGAUGUCAAAGCCCCCGGCUCAACCGGGGAGGGUGAUUGGAAACUGGGAGACUUGAGUGCAGAAGAGGAGAGUGGAAUUCCAUGUGUAGCGGUGAAAUGCGUAGAUAUUUGGAGGAACACCAGUGGCGAAGGCGGCUCUCUGGUCUGUAACUGACGCUGAGGCUCGAAAGCGUGGGGAGCAAACAGG
This 429-nucleotide ribosomal RNA is filed under the name Gemmatimonadota bacterium. RNAcentral's name for it is "Gemmatimonadetes bacterium partial 16S ribosomal RNA". It matches the Rfam family "Bacterial small subunit ribosomal RNA", at positions 355 to 776 of the family's 1533-position model. Lineage: Bacteria; Pseudomonadati; Gemmatimonadota. The record is from RNAcentral.